Molecule: ribosomal RNA, 253 nt
Filed under: uncultured bacterium
Lineage: Bacteria
Description: partial 16S ribosomal RNA
Rfam family: Bacterial small subunit ribosomal RNA
Source: RNAcentral
UACGAAGGUCCCAAGCGUUAUCCGGAUUUAUUGGGUUUAAAGGGUGCGUAGGCGGGUUAUUAAGUCAGUGGUGAAAGCUCCAUGCCUAACAUGGAAAUUGCCAUUGAUACUGAUGAUCUUGAGUACAUUUGAAGUGGGCGGAAUGUGUCAUGUAGUGGUGAAAUACUUAGAUAUGACACAGAACACCGACUGCGUAGGCAGCUCACUAAACUGUAACUGACGCUGAGGCACGAAAGCGUGGGGAGCAAACAGG